GCAGGAAUUACAGACAGGAACCUGUGAGGGGGACAAGGGCAAUGCCUGAAUCUGGGUGACUGGGGAAACGGGAAGUGGAGGGGUGGGAGACAGCUUGGCUGGAUGUGGAGGUGGAGAGGAGAUGAGAAGAAAAGAUUGCCUCUGGAGUCAGUGACCUGGAGGGGCAAGUAACCCACCCAUGCCUUGUAGGUGCAAGUCUGGAAAUUACUUGUUCCCAUCUGAUUCAAUGAACAAUUGCAAAACCUGGCAAUCCGGAUGAAGCCAAGCAUUCUGAAUCUUAAUUUAUUUUUCUGUUUUUCCAAUAAAAAGGUCUUCCAAAG
Molecule: long non-coding RNA, 320 nt
Filed under: Homo sapiens (human)
Lineage: Eukaryota; Metazoa; Chordata; Mammalia; Primates; Hominidae
Description: HSALNT0093342
Source: RNAcentral